GAUGAACGCUGGCGGCGUGCCUAAUACAUGCAAGUCGAGCGAAUGGAUUAAGAGCUUGCUCUUAUGAAGUUAGCGGCGGACGGGUGAGUAACACGUGGGUAACCUGCCCAUAAGACUGGGAUAACUCCGGGAAACCGGGGCUAAUACCGGAUAACAUUUUGAACCGCAUGGUUCGAAAUUGAAAGGCGGCUUCGGCUGUCACUUAUGGAUGGACCCGCGUCGCAUUAGCUAGUUGGUGAGGUAACGGCUCACCAAGGCAACGAUGCGUAGCCGACCUGAGAGGGUGAUCGGCCACACUGGGACUGAGACACGGCCCAGACUCCUACGGGAGGCAGCAGUAGGGAAUCUUCCGCAAUGGACGAAAGUCUGACGGAGCAACGCCGCGUGAGUGAUGAAGGCUUUCGGGUCGUAAAACUCUGUUGUUAGGGAAGAACAAGUGCUAGUUGAAUAAGCUGGCACCUUGACGGUACCUAACCAGAAAGCCACGGCUAACUACGUGCCAGCCGCCGCCGUAACAC
This 518-nucleotide ribosomal RNA is filed under the name uncultured bacterium. RNAcentral's name for it is "bacterial SSU rRNA". It matches the Rfam family "Bacterial small subunit ribosomal RNA", at positions 28 to 526 of the family's 1533-position model. The record is from RNAcentral.